RNAcentral lists this ribosomal RNA (407 nucleotides) under uncultured bacterium. RNAcentral describes it as "partial 16S ribosomal RNA". It matches the Rfam family "Bacterial small subunit ribosomal RNA", at positions 28 to 526 of the family's 1533-position model. The record is from RNAcentral.
GACGAACGCUGGCGGCGUGCCUAAUACAUGCAAGUAGAACGCAGUUGCGAACGGGUGAGUAACGCGUAGGUAACUGCCUCAUAGCGGGGGAUAACUAUUGGAACCGAUAGCUAAUCCCGCAUACUGUGAGAUGGACCUGCGUUGUAUUAGCUAGUUGGUGAGGUAACGGCUCACCAAGGCGACGAUACAUAGCCGAGCUUACAGGGAGAUCGGCCACGCUUGGGAUUAGACACGGCCCAGACUCCUAAGGGAGGCAGCAGUAGGGAAUCUGCGGCAAUGGACGGAAGUCUGACCGAGCAACGCCGGGUGAGUGAAGAAGGUUUUCGGAUCGUAAAGCUAUGUUGUUAGAGAAGCGUUAACUAACCAGAAAGGGACGGCUAACUACGUGCCAGCAGCCGCGGUAAUAC